UGGCCCAGAUCGUUUACCGUGAAAAAAUUAGAGUGUUCAAAGCAGGCAGAUCCAAUUUUCUGCCACCGAAUACAUUAGCAUGGGAUAAUGGAAUAGGACCCUGUCCUCCUAUUUUCAGUUGGUUUGCCGCGAGGACCAGGGUAAUGAUUAAUAGGGAUAGUUGGGGGCAUUAAUAUUUAAUUGUCAGAGGUGAAAUUCUUGGAUUUAUGAAAGAUUAACUUCUGCGAAAGCAUCUGCCAAGGAUGUUUUCAUUAAUCAAGAACGAAAGUUAGGGGAUCGAAGACGAUCAGAUACCGUCGUAGUCUUAACCAUAAACGAUGCCGACCAGCGAUUAGGAGACGUUGAAUACAAAACACCACCAUGCGCAUUGCGGUCGUCUUUGGUGUCGCUCACAAGGCGGCACCGGGGCUAGGUCCCAACGGGCC
RNAcentral lists this ribosomal RNA (425 nucleotides) under Acanthamoeba genotype T3. RNAcentral describes it as "SSU rRNA". It matches the Rfam family "Eukaryotic small subunit ribosomal RNA", at positions 739 to 1116 of the family's 1831-position model. The record is from RNAcentral. Lineage: Eukaryota; Discosea; Longamoebia; Acanthamoebidae.